RNAcentral lists this transfer RNA (87 nucleotides) under Cucumis melo (muskmelon). It matches the Rfam family "tRNA". Rfam says of the family: Transfer RNA (tRNA) molecules are approximately 80 nucleotides in length. The record is from Rfam by way of RNAcentral. RNAcentral also lists the same sequence under 1 other name. Lineage: Eukaryota; Viridiplantae; Streptophyta; Magnoliopsida; Cucurbitales; Cucurbitaceae.
CCGACCUUAGCUCAGUUGGUAGAGCGGAGGACUGUAGUUGGUUGACAGAUAAUCCUUAGGUCGCUGGUUCGAAUCCGGCAGGUCGGA